RNAcentral lists this transfer RNA (77 nucleotides) under Eubacterium sp. RNAcentral describes it as "tRNA-Ile". It matches the Rfam family "tRNA". Rfam says of the family: Transfer RNA (tRNA) molecules are approximately 80 nucleotides in length. Their secondary structure includes four short double-helical elements and three loops (D, anti-codon, and T loops). Further hydrogen bonds mediate the characteristic L-shaped molecular structure. tRNAs have two regions of fundamental functional importance: the anti-codon, which is responsible for specific mRNA codon recognition, and the 3' end, to which the tRNAs corresponding amino acid is attached (by aminoacyl-tRNA synthetases). tRNAs cope with the degeneracy of the genetic code in two manners: having more than one tRNA (with a specific anti-codon) for a particular amino acid; and 'wobble' base-pairing, i.e. permitting non-standard base-pairing at the 3rd anti-codon position. RNAcentral also lists the same sequence under 4 other names. The record is from RNAcentral. Lineage: Bacteria; Bacillati; Bacillota; Clostridia; Eubacteriales; Eubacteriaceae.
GGGCUCAUAGCUCAGGUGGUUAGAGCGCACGCCUGAUAAGCGUGAGGUCGGAGGUUCGAGUCCUCUUGAGCCCACCA